RNAcentral lists this long non-coding RNA (40063 nucleotides) under Vigna radiata. Its description in RNAcentral is "long non-coding RNA (VRAD_LNC010770)". The record is from RNAcentral. Lineage: Eukaryota; Viridiplantae; Streptophyta; Magnoliopsida; Fabales; Fabaceae.
AGGAGGUAGCUACAGUGGGUUGCUCGUUGUGGUGGGAGUUAAAAAAUCGGAAAGAUAGGUGUGUUAUGCAUUUAAAACCGUUUGGAAGUUUGUCUGGUAUUCUUGAUGAUGAAUUAGAGUAAUAAUUUUUUACUUCAAUUUGAAUCUAGGAUAAAGCAGGAGUGGGAUCUUGCACUUGUGAACGUGCUGACAGCGGCAGCAUGCAAUGCACUAGUUGUUUGGUCCCUUGCUCCUUGUCGAUCAUAUGGGAACACAUUUCGGUUUGAUUUACAAAAUACAUUGCAGAAGCUUCCAAACAACAUAUUUGAGAAGAGCUAUCCACUUAGGGAAUUUGAUUUGCAAAAGAGGAUCCAAUGCUUUUUGUUCAAGGCUGCUGAGUUGUGCAUGGUUGGUUUGAGUGCUGGUGCAGUACAAGGUGCAUUGUCAAACACUUUGGCGAGUAAAAAGGAGGGAAGGUAUGCAGGGUUGAAACUCAACCUUAUUUUUUAUAGUAUUCAAUUCAUUUAAUUUUUUUAAUUAAUCCUUGAGUUUUACCCACGAUUGAUCAAAUCACGAGUGCUAAAUACUAAUUUUAAUCCUUGCAUGUGUUGCGCCUGCAGAUUAUCUGUUACAGUCCCGAGUGUUAGCACUAAUGCGCUUGGUUACGGUGCUUUUCUCGGAAUUUAUGCUAACCUUAGAUAUCAACUGUUAUGUGGGUUUGAUAGAGCAAUGAUGACCCAUUUUGAUGUUAUUGGAGUUGCCCUGUUCUUCAGCACAACAUUCAGGUGUGGUUUUUUAUCUAUUGAAUAAGUUGUUCACCUUGAAUCCAUUUUACCUUUUUGCUUUAACGUAAGUCACACGGUAGAGGAAGAAAUUAUUUUUAAGAUCUGUUUUUUGAAAACUUAUUCCGAAUUUUAUGCAGGUUCUUGAACGUUCAAUUAGGAGAGACUUCUAAGCGUGUAUGGCUUGGAGUUGAGGCAGAUCCACUGGCCCAGUCGGACGACCUCUUGAAAGUGUACAACAGGACUUCUGAGAAUGUAGAAACGCCAUCCUCAAAAUGGUUUAUAUCAAAGAAUGCGGUGGUUUCUGGGCUUGGGCUCCUGGGCAUCAAACAAAGGAGUGCGGACGGGACAGGUGCAGAAUCCUCAGCUCCUAAAGCUCGGCGGAAAAGGAUUGUUCGGAAGAAGGUUGCGGCGGGUUCUGCGUGAUGUGACGCUGUCCAAUUUUGCUCUUUGCUACCUCUGGAGUAUCCUUGGGCGGUUCACUGGCUGCUCCAUACUAAGUUGGGGGUUAAUUAGUGGACCAACAUUUUUUUAUCACAUUAACUGAGAUUUCAGGAGGGUUUUGUUUCUAAAUUUUGUAGGAAUUCUUAUAUUCAUCGUUUGCGCUUUGAUAUCUGAUUCUGUACUAUAUAUUUCGAAUCUAUUCAAUAAAGUAGAGCAAGUAUUUUCUUUUUCACCUCUAGUCAGUGAUCCUAUCUCAAUGAACGCAUGAUUCGAGUUUUAUAGAAUCUUGCCAAUCUUUGAUUUCAUGAAAAAAAAAUGUAAUAAAAUGAUAUGAAAUAGUAGUAAAAAAUGGAAUUAUAUGAAAGAAGAGAAAAGCAGAAGUGGGGAAGGAAGUGCGUGAAGCGAUGAAUUAAAGGAGUUAUAUGAAAGGGAAGGGAAAGGGUAAAAAAGAGUUGAGUAAUAUCGAGAAUGGGUUUGAUGUCAGUGGUGGAGUGGUUGGUGGUGUACCAGCCAAGAAUCCUGAACUUCACAUGGAACCCUCCUCACACACCCUUCUCCUCCCCUCUCUUCCUAUCUCUCUCAAUCAUAACAUACCUCUCACUCACUCUCCUUCUCACCUACCUCAUCCCUCUCCCACCCAUCCCUCCCCGCCUCCUGAAGCCCAUAACCGCCCUCCACAACCUCACCCUCUUCCUCCUCUCCCUCUUCAUGGUCCUGGGCUGCGCCCUCACCCUCCUCACCCACACCCCACACCUCCGCUGGGCCAUCUGCUUCCCACCCGCCACACCCCCCUCCGGGCCCCUCUUCUUCUGGGCCUACGUCUUCUACCUCUCUAAGUUCCUCGAAUUCCUUGACACCCUCUUCAUCAUCCUCUCCCGCUCAACCCGACGCCUCUCCUUCCUCCAUGUUUACCACCACUCCACCGUCGUUCUCAUGUCCUACCUCUGGCUCCAAACCUCCCAGUCCCUCUUCCCCAUCGCCCUCCUCACCAACGCCUCCGUCCACGUCGUCAUGUACGCCUACUACUUCCUCACCGCCCUCUCCUUCCGCCCCUCCUGGAAGCGCGCCGUCACCGACUUCCAGAUCCUCCAGUUCCUCUUCAGCUUCGCAAUUUCUGCCCUAAUGCUCCACUACCACUUCUCCACCUCCGGAUGCUCCGGAAUUUGGGGCUGGUGCUUCAAUGCCCUCUUCAACGCCUCUCUUUUGGCCCUUUUUCUUGAUUUUCAUCUCAAGAGUUAUGCUAACAGGAGGAACACCGCCCACAAACGCAUUCUUCACAAGGACUCCUAAUCUUCAGUAAGACGCAAUAUAAUUAUUUACUUGUUGCAUUUCAAUGACACUGCUAUUUCCUUACAAUUCAAACCAUGAAGCUUUUUUAUUGUCUAGACUGAACAUGUAUUAGUCUUACAAUUACAGUUGUAUGUUUCAUUCUCCUCCCUGCUUCCAACACCCAAAUGGACGUUUUCCUGGUACGUCUUGAUAAAAAUUACGACUUCAAGAGGCUAGCUCUGGAAUGGAAAAAAAUUUCUGUUUUAAAACUUGCGUCUUUAUUCAGUGUUUCUGUUCUUGAGAAAUUGUGCUUUGAAAAUUUGAGUUUUUGAUGCAUACUAUCACUUGAAUUAUGUUAUUAGAUUAUUUGAAUUUUAAAAUUUGAAAGUUGCAAUGAAUUUGGUUUUGGAUAAAAUUUUAGUCUUUUAAAUUACAAUAAAUUCAAUGUUAAUCCGUUAACUUUACUGUAUAAAUAAUAUUGACGGUUAAAAAAAAAACAUUUUAGUGUCUGAAGUUUAAAAUGGCCUUUUCUUCAAAUUUGAAACCUAAAAUAUUUACUUAAAAAAAUUAAAAGACUGAAAUCAGAUACAUCCUUAAACUUCAUACAUUAAAAAUGGAAUUAAUGCCUAUUGUUUUCAACGUAUUAGUGUUCACCGAUUCAGGCUAAUGUAUUAUGUUGAUGUUGGUUAUUUUAUCAUGUUUAUAUGAUGUUUUUGGAUAAAUGUAUUAUUUUGCUAUUUUAUUUUAUGAUUCAGGCUUAAACAGCCGUUCUCUUUAAUCUUCCGUUAGCUUUAAAAAUUAGAAGAAAAAAAUAUGCAACCUUUGACUGUAGACCAAGUUUUUUAUAGAUUCACAUAAAGAAUUUUCUUAAUCUCAAAUUUAAGUAAAACUAAUUAUGUAUUAUUUGUUGAUAUAUUAUAUUAUAUCAAAAUAUUCAAUCUUAUUAAAAAAAAUCUAAUGUAGGAGGUUGGACAGAUUAUGUUAAGAAUGUACGGAGAAUAAUGGACUCAAAUUUUCACAAUAGAAGACGUGUCUGCCUGAAUAGUUUAUUCUACAUUGUCAACUUUGAUUAUGUCAUAGUCUAUUUUUUAGUCUUAAUUUAACAUUUCUCAUCACUAUAUUUUAACAAAUUUAGUGAAAUAAAUUAAUUUAAAAAGAUAACAGAAAAAUUAGGUUAAAUAAGAGUAAAAUUAUAAUUAUGUCCCAAUUAAAUAAACUUCACAACUAAAACAAUUAAUUUUAAUCUUAAUAAACUUGUUUACAUGAUAUUUGAAGAGAAAAUGAAUUUGGGAUGGAAUUAUAUCACUAUAAGCUUUUUGGUUAAUUUUAUUAAACUAGGAUAAAUUGGCAAAUCUUGUAUAAUAGUUUAGAAAAAAAGAAAAUAAUUAACAUACCAUCUAUACCUCUCUCUCUGUAUAUAUUUAAUUUUAUUGUUUUCGUGUACAUAUUUUCUUUCCCAUUCUAUCCUUUAAAUAAUUGUUAUUUUAAAUUAAAAUAAUUGUGUUUUCAUUUUUAUCCUUUAAAUGUCAGUUAAUUUAAAUUUAAUAUUUCUUAAAUUAAAGUAAUUAUUUUUUCAUUUUAGUCUUUUAGUUAUUAUUUAUUUAAAUUCAAAUAUUUUGUAACUAAAUUAAUUGUCUGUAAUAAAAAGAAGAAACACGUGUUUUCAUCGUAAAAGUUAAUAAUGUUACAUAUAUUUUUAAGAAGACAAGUUUUAAAUUUGUAUUUUGUAUGUGUUUUUAUGUUAAUAAAUAUAUAUUAUAUUAAAAUAUAUUUAAAUAGAUAUUAUAUUAAAAUAUAUUUAGAUGUUAAGAAAUAUUAAAUUAUAUUUAGAAGUUGAGGGAAAAUAAUAAUAUUUUUAAGUUUAUAAUUAAAUUUUAAAUAGAAUCAACAUUAUAAAUUAUUUAUAAGUUAAAAAAGUUAAUAUAUAUGAAAAAUUGUACAGAAUAAAUUUUGUAAAAUUACAAAAGAUUUAACAUGUGAAAAUAUAUAGAGUAAAUUAUAAAAAUACAAAGGAUGGAUUAUGUAAAAAUAUGUUGAGUAUAUUGAUUAUAAAUACAAAUUAAUGUAUGGACAUAUUAGUCUAAUGUGUAUUAUUAGACUUGUAUAAUUAGUGCAUUGGUAUAUUUGUCUAAUAUAUAAUUUUAGACUCAUGUAAUAAGUAUAUGAACACAUUCAUUUGAUGUGUAUUGUUAUACUCAUUUAAUGUGUAUAUACAAACUCGUCUAAUAUGUAUUGCAAGAUGCGUCUAAUCAAAUAAUUAAUAUAGUUAUCUAAUGUGUUUUAAUUAGUCUAUAGGCAAAUGUGUGUUGCAAAACUUGUUUAUUUAAUAUAUGGAUGUACUCCCUUAAUACAUAUUCUUAUAGACUUAUCUAACCAAUGUAAGAAAUUAUUUGUUUUAUGUUUUAUGGACAAAAUUAUUAUCUAAUUCAUGGGUAGUCUUUUAAUGUGUAUUGCUAAAUCGGUCUAAUUAGUGUUUCGACAUAAUCAUUUAAUGUAUAUUGCAAGAUUUAUCUAAUUAGUUGUUUAAUCAUUCUUUAAAUAGAUUCCUCUAAUGAGUAUUUUCAAACUCAUGUAAUCAAUGUAUAAAAUGUGUCGUUCAAUGUAUUUUUGUUAUACAUGUCAACUGAUUGUAUGUACAAACUGAUUUAAUGUGUAUUGUUAAACUUGUUCAAUCAGUACAUUAACAGACCCAUUUAAUUUUUUUUGUUAUAUUUGUUUAAUCAAUAAAUGUAAUGACUCGUCUAAUAUUUUUUGUUAUACUUAUUUAAUUAAUAUAUAGAUAAACUCGUCUAAUGUAAAUUUUUAAACUUGUCUAAUGUUUUUUGUUAUACUAAUCUAAUCAUUAUAUGGACAUAUUGGCCUAUUCUGCAUUGUAAGAUUAAUUUAAUAAUUUUUGUUAUAUUUGUUACAUAAUGAACUAAAUGAUUUGCUUAAUGUAUAUGGUUAGACUUGUCUAAUUCUUUUAUAUUCAUUUAAUUAGUGUGUGAACAAAAUCAAUUAAUGUAUUUAUAAACUCAUGUAAUCAAUUUAUGUUUAAUAUAUAAUUUUAUUUUCAUUUAAUAAUAAUAUAAAUACAUUAGUAAUAUAUUUUAACAUAAUUAGUUUAUUACAUUUUAUCCUCUCUUUUUCAGUCUUACUAAAAUUAUAAGUUAUUACAUGAAAACAAUAAAAAAUGAAUUAAAAAAUGUAAAGUAAAAAAUAAAAUAUUAAAAAAUAUGAUUUUAUUACUAUAAAUAUAUUAUUCAAACAUUUGAAAUGAACUAUUAAAUAAAACAAAAAUCAGUGUAACUCUUUCAUUACAAAUAUAUAUUUUAAACUUUUGAAAUGAAUUAUGGAAUACAAUAUUUUAAUUUUUUUUUUCAAAUAUAAUUAUUUUAAACUUUAUAUGGAGUUUUUAGUACAUAUUAUUAAUGUUAAUUUUUAUUAGAUAAAAUUAAUUUAAUUUUAAAUACUAAAAAGAGAAAGAAUAUUAUAGAAACGAUAAGUAUGAUUUUUUAUUGAUAAACUUUUUAAGACAAAAUUAUUUCCUCACAAUUGCUUUUUAUUUUACUAUCAAUAAACAUAUAUUAUUUUCUAAAUAAUAUUUUUUUAUGAAAUAAAAUUAAAAUAUUUUUUAAAUUUAAUUUUAUUAAAUGACUAACUAAUUAAAAUAAAAAAAUAGUAUAUAAUAAAAUUAAUACUUUAAAUAUAAGUUAUUCUUCAAGAUAAUAAAUGUGUUGAAAGUAUGUUAGAUUUUUUAUUUUUUUUAAAUGGUUAAAAUGUGUUUAAGGAUACACAUUAAAAGAAUUAUUUAUUUAUUUAUUUAAAAAAUGGAUUUCCUUUAAAAAUACUAAAUAUAAAUCAUGGGUAAAAACAUAAAUUAUCUAUGUGGCAGAAAAGGAAAAAAAUUAAAAAUAUUAAAUAACAAAAAAACUUAGACACUUAUCAACAAAAUAAAAAGAUGACUUUUAUAGUACCAUCUUUUAUAGAAAAUAGAUAUUAUCCUCUUUUAUUAUCUAUUAUAAUAUAUAACAGAUAUUAAUUUAAUUUAUACCAAAUAGAUAAUAGAUAAUUGAUUAAUAGAAUAAUUUCAAUUUUAUAUAUAAUUGACAUUUUGAAUGUUGAUAUAAAAAUUUUAAAGGUAAGAAAGUAAUAGUUGUAGAGCUAAAAUAAUAAUUUAUUACAUAUUAAAUGUUAAAGUUGAAAUAUAUUGAUAUUUUUAAAGUAAAUCAAUUUAAAAAAAAAAUCAAAUAGAUAAAAAAGGUAGAAUAACGUUUUAGAGAGACAUUUUUUUAUAUGACAAUGUAAAUUAUGAAAAAAAAUAGUACGAAAUUUUUAUAAUAUAAACUUGUUGACCAAUUAAUUAGCAACAAAAUAAGUAUAAAUGUAAAAUUAAAAAAUAAAAUAAUUCUCAUCUAUAUGUGUGAUAACAAAAUAAAUAUAAAUAAAGAAGAAAUUAAAAAUAUAAAAUGAUUGAAAAUAAAAUGAAUAAUACCACUGUUAUACUUGUAGUAGAAUUAAAUAUUUAAACCAUUUGAUCCAAGGUUAAUCACCACCACAUGGCAUCUUAAUUUUGAAAGUUGUCUUUGAAGAAUAGUUUUAAAAAUUAGAUGGUUGGUUUGAUUGGAAGAUGGUGGUUGACUCUUUUAUUAUAAUUAAUAUAUCAUUAUUUCAAUGGGACUCAAAUCAAUAUCAAAAUAUCUAUUUUCAGAUAAAUCGAUUACUUGUAUGCAUAUAAUUAAUAUAAGUAACAAAACAAUAACUCAGGAAAAAACAAACUUUAUGCAACACCUUCUAAACAUAAAUAAAACAAAUAAAAACUCAUAAAUAAAAAUUUAUAUAGUAUUAUACCAAUUUAAAAUUUCAUCACCACAAUUGAUGAAAAUAGGAAAGAAUAGUUCAAUAAAUCUAAAAUUAAUGAAAAGUAACUAACUCUAAUAAAUAAGACAAUACUUUUCAUAAUUUUUUAAAAUUAUUUUCUUCUCUCCCAUCCCACAACCUACUUACAUUUCAUCAUCUUCUAAUUUCUUAAUUAAAUACACAUUCCAUUUAGUUUUUUUUUUUAAAUUGAAAUUCAUGAGAAGUAUAGAUGCAACUUAAUAAAAAAAAAAAACAUAGAAGUGGGUAAAAUUUUCAUAAUUAAAUCAUGCAUUUUUUUUUUCUAAAAAUUAUUUGGUUUUUAAGUUGAGUUUAUUAGAUGAUUCUUUUAUUCGAUUAUUAGUAUAAGUUAUUAUCGAGGUACGGAAAAAGUUAUUUACGAUCCAAUAUACAAAAUAGAUUUAAUCGUGAUUUUAGUAUACUAAAAUAAAUUAAUUUUAAAUUUGUCGUUAAUUAUAAUUUUUACUGUAAAAUAAGUUAUUUCAAAGAUUUCGAAAAAAAUUUCGUGUUAACAUCAUAUAUAAAUACUAGCAGAUUCCACUUAAAACAUGUAUACUUUUGAUUGGUACUUCAUAAGAAAGCAUUUACAAUAAAGAGGAAACUUGUUUUCAUUCAUAUGCUAAUGUUUUGUUUUGGAAUAGUUGUACAUGAAUCCUACAAGUGUAUGUUUAAUUAACUUUGCAAAACAAAAAAAAAAAAAAAAGCAUUUGAAGAAACAUUAAAUGUGGUAUACAGUUUGGUUUAAAAAUGAAUGCUAAAAAUAAUAAAACCUAACCUAAAUUUUGCUGUUUGAUCGUGAUUUUAGGAACAUAUAUUCCUAUUCCUAUUAAAUUUGUCUAUUUAUACCAAAGAGUUGGGAGAAUUAGGGUUGGCAAUUGGGUCAGAAAUUAAUGUUAGAGUAUUUGAUAGAUAACCCACACAUUAAUAAUCAUAGUAAUGUUUAUGGUUACUAUAAUUGCCUCUAGAGUAAUUUUAAACUAAUAAUAAAAUGAUAAAUAAAUAAUAUUAAAAUAUUAUAAAAAAGAAUGUUUUUACAGUAACAUUAUUUUUUACUAAAUUUUGUUGGGUGCGAGGGAGGACAAAACACACUAAAAAAUCUUGUGGUAAUAUGUGAGAGCAGUCAACAAUCCUUGUAAGUUGUCAUGGUGUGAAAAAAUAAAAUAAAAAAAACUAUAUUGGGAUUACGUAAAAAAAAAAUGAUAUUCAUAGCAAAACCCAGCAGUACUAAUAUUCACUAAAUAGAGUGUGUCCCUUUCAAAAACAUAAAGGGAGGCACCUACCUUCUGCAGUGCCCCCAUUUUCAUCCAUUCACUAAAUAAUCAAUGUUGUUAGUUGGUAGAUGCAGAUCAACAUUUCAAAUUUAAAUAUUCACUGCCUUAUUUAUUGGUAUUCAAUGAAUAUUACAAUGCAUUUGUUGUGAGAGUUUAUGCUGUAACUAAACAAAUCCUAAAAACCAUAACACAUGGCAUUGCUAUGAAGCUUCACUGUCACACUGCCUGCAGUUAGAGCAGUUAUUAGAGAAGGUCUCAUCAUGUCUCAAAAACACUUGGACAUCAUUCCAACUGUUAAAAUAAAAUAUAUCACCUUUUCUUCUUCUUUUAAAUUUGAAUUUUAAAUUAUUAUUAUUUUUGAAUGGUCAAGAUCUCAUGCAGAAUGAGUCACUGUAGAGACCAUGCAUUUGCUUCUGCUCAGAUUGCCACAUUUAUUGAGCAACUCUAACACCUUAUAGCAAAUGGAUUUUCUCUCUCACUAAUAAUACACACACACACACUUACUUUACCAGCUGUAUAUCAUCACUGUUCAUUACUUAUAGUGUUUCAGCCUACCCUCUCACACUGUCAUACCAUAUAUACAUCAAACAACUUCAAGCUUGCAGUUUUCCUCCUCCAAACAUUCUGGAUUUCAAGAUCUCUCUCUUCUUCCUCAGCAGCACAGUACUAGGUUGUUUUUGUGUUGUGUUGUUUUUGUGCUGUUGUGGUAGUUGAGUUUGAGAAAAUGUUAUCAUCAGGGUUGGAUUUGGAGUACUGGCUAGUGAACCAUCCUACCAUAAGAAACUUCUCAUGGACACCAGGUAAAACCCUAGGUUCCUCACCACACUUUCUCUUCUUCACCAUUCUCUCUUACCUUUUCUCCACCUUCAUUCUACCCCACAGGAUCAUAUCUUCCUCCAUAUCACCACAGUUCAUCAAAACCAUCUCAGCCCUCCACAACAUCUUCCUCCUUCUCCUCUCUUUCACCAUGGCUCUUGGCUGCCUCCUCUCCACCCUCUACCAUGCACCUCACCUCCACUGGAUCGUCUGCUUCCCUCCCCACACCAAGCCCACCGGCCCUCUCUUCUUCUGGGCCUACAUCUUCUACCUCUCCAAGAUCCUCGAGUUCGCCGACACCCUCCUCAUCAUCCUCAGCAAAUCCAUCCAACGCCUCACCUUCCUCCACGUCUACCACCACUCCACCGUCGUCAUCAUGUGCUACAUCUGGCUCCAAACCUCCCAGACCCUCUUCCCCGCCGUCCUCUUCACCAACGCCUCCGUGCAUGUCCUGAUGUACGCCUACUACUUAUCCUGCGCACUCGGGGUGCGCCCCAGAUGGAAGAAGAUCGUCACCAACGUUCAGAUCUUGCAGUUCUACUCCAGCUUCCUCGUUCUCGCCGUCAUGCUCUACUACCACUUCACCGGUUCUGGCUGCUCCGGCGUCUGGGGUUGGACCUUCAACGUCGUCUUCUACGCCUCUCUUCUCGUUCUCUUCGUAGACUUUCACAAGAAGAGUUACGGUGCAUCCUCCAAGAAGAAUAAGCUCGCCGUUAAGCCUUCCAAGACCUUCUUUUAUUCCAAUCACACUCACAAGUGAUUUGCACUAUUUAUGGUACGACAUCAUCAUUAUUCUUCCAAUUCAUUCUUUUUGUGAAAGCGAAAUUCCAUAGCAUGUCACGUAACCUGGUCGUGAGAACUACCAACAUGUCUCAGUUUCUCACUAUCAUCUACCUGUUUUUCAUUCCUCUACUUUUUUUUCCUUGAUUCUGACUCUGGGAACUUUUGUUAUCAAGCUAGAAUGGCAAAAGGCCGAAUAUUGAAAUUGGGGUAUGUGGGUGUUAAGGAUUUGGUUGAGUUCGUGGAAUAUUUUUUUUUCAAAUCGUUUUGUUAAUGUGGAUUUGUUUACUAUUACACGCACGACAUUUACCUUAAAAUCUGGGACAAAACCUAUGUACUCUAGAUAUAUAUAUAUAUAUAUAAUAGUUGGUGUUGUUGUUCCAUUAAAUGCGGAGCUUAUCUAAAAAUAGUCGUGUUUCAAGAUGAAACUAAUCAUUCCAUGAUUAUAUAUAUAUAGAUCGGAAAAAUAAACGUGUUAUAUAUGCAUGCAUGGCCUAAUUAAUUAAGUUAAUACGCGUGUUAUUGGUCAAAUAGUGAUGACACGUGAAUGUUCUGAAAGUACUUUUGAAUUGUGGUCCAAGAACAGCUGCACAACUCAUCACCAAAAUAAAAUUUAACAGCUGCAUUUAUAAUAUACCAACUACCUAACAACAACAGAAUAAAGACUACUAUUCUGCGCUAGAUCUUCUACGUAGUACUACAAUUGUUGUUUAUUGGAAUUGCCUUUUUCCUAUUAUAUAAAGAUAAUUUGAUGGUAAUCGCACUUUUCUAUUUUGUUAUAUUUUAUUAAUUUUUUUUUUGGGUGGAAGCUAUAUUUUUUUAAUUAUACUUCUGCAGCUUAUUUAAAUGAUACCGGUACAUCAAAUACUGUUUACAUGUCGAUAUUCAAUUAAUUUGAUUUUCUAUCUAUAUGUUCCAUCUUAAUUAUAAUUAAGUUCGCCUUAGCCAACCAUACACAGUAAUAAUAAUCAUUAAUGUUAUCCAAGACAAACAAUAAUUUUAUACAAAAUUUGUAAAAAAACUUAAAAUAAUAGAAUAAUUACACCCUUUUCCAAGGGCUUUCUUUAUUGUAACAGUGAUUACUCAUGUUUAAACUUUUUUAUAUAUUAGUUAAAAUAUAAUAAAAUAGUAAUCGAUAAGAAUACACAGCACGCAUUUUUUUUUUAUCAAAAUUUAAAAGUUAUAUGUUUUUCUAAUUGUAUUUCAAUUAUAUUUCAUUUUUAAUAUAUAUAACGCAAAAAAAAAAAUUGCAAUCAUAAUACAACAUUUUUAAUUAUGUUAAUUUUGUUCAAUUUUAUCAUAAGACAUAAGCUCAAUCCAUAUACAAAAUUAAUAUCACAUUUAACUUAAAAACUUUUAAGGCAAUAGGUUUGUGGUAUAGAGGAAUACUCAACUAUGAUGAAUCUCUCAAGAAAAAAUUAUCAAAGAAACAUAACAUUAAUAAAACAUGAAUCUAGCCUACAAAAAACAUGAAUAAAUUUAUGCAUUUAUUCAAUGUCUCUACUUAAAAAAUGAGAUUUAGACUCGUAUCUACUUUCCUAAAACAUCAAUAUGGAUAUAAAGUAGUGGUGGUCUACUUAAAAAGGAGAUUUAGACUCGUAUCUACCUUCCUAAGAACAUCAAUAUGGAUAUAUAAAGUGGUGUUGGUGGAAGCAUGAAUGACUGGAAAAGACAUAUAAGUGUUGUUUAAGGAUGUUAUAUGCUGUGGAAAAUCAAAACAUCCAUAAUUUGCUGAGACAUAACGGAUCAUAUCUCAAAUUGUGUAGUGCUUGGUUUCUAUGUAUUUGGGAGAAAUUUGUUUACAUGUUGGAAUUUUAUUUUAUUUUAUAUAUAUGAAAUCCUUUAAUUGUAUUUUAUUUUAUUUUUUAUUUUAACUAAUAUGUUCAAGUAGUAGAAAUGUUUCACACGAUCACAUAAAAUUUUAACUUAACCUCAAAUAAAAAAAAAUUAAAUUUCAUCAGUAGAAUAAAAAGUUCAAAUCUUCACUCUUCGAACCUAAUGUCAGAUUUCAUAAACGAAAUGCAAUUCAUUUUUGUGACAUUAUUAAUAAAAUUUAACAGUCAAUAUAUCCUAAAUUACCUAUUUAAGGAAAUCAUUAAAAAAUUACUAAAUGUAAGAAUGACUUGCACGGCAAAAAAAAUAACACUAAAUUCCUACAAAUCACCAUUUAAAUUGGAUUCUAGAUAUGGAUUUGGACAGUUCUGAUUUCCAUUUCAAAACUGUAUUUUAAGUAGAAUCACUGAAAUGAUAUAUAUGCAUAUGCAUUGUUCAAUCCUUAUCACAGUUCAAGGUUUUACAGCUCAGUACAAGGAUGAAGUCUUAAAAACAAGACAACAUAAAAAGAAGUUGGAAAAGUGAAAAAGUGCAUAACAAAUUUAAUGAAUAGAAGGACGUAAUGAGUAUGACAAUGGUGAGCAAGGUAUCCUCUGAAAUUUUGGCCUUAAGCAAGGAAGGAAAGCUUUUAGAGCUGUCAGUACUAAUAGAUUCACUCUCUUCUUCACGUAUUCUUCAACUCCUUUCAUUGAGCUUACUCAUAAAUAGCUCACAAUCUCUCAUUUCAUGCACGUCGACAAUUGGAGACAAUGUAAUGUAAUAAACUGUAUCAGUGGAUAUAUGGCUAAUCAUCACAGUGCACUUCUUUUCAUCUUUGCUGUUAUUUCAUCUGGUAAUUUCUUCACUUUUAUAAUCUCUAUCUUUGGUCAACCUGUGUGAAGCAAAUAAAGCAUACUUGUUAACUAUUAAUCUUCCUAUUUAGGUUCAUAUAUAACUAAAAAAAUUUAAACUUUAAUUUGAUAAUUCCUUGUUUCAUUUAAUAUUGGUUUGAAAACGACUUCACAACAUUCGAAUGUCAAUAAAUCAGGAGAAAAACGCAGUAGCUACAAUAGGUGGUAGUGGUCCAAUCUGCAUAACAGAGUUUUGACCCGAAUAUAAAAACUUUGCCAUUAUUGGGUGUGCAACUCAGACUGUUGAUUUGUUUAUGCUUAGAGAAAAAUGUUUAUUUGUUAAAGCAACAAGGAGGCUUUCCAAGAAGGGUUAUUUUUUACAAUCUUAGAAAUUUGAUCUGUUGGGUGGCAGCACCUGAAACCUGUGGAAGCAGUAAGACUUUAACUAUAGUAAAUUACUGCAAGGAGACAAUAUGGCCUGCGAUGACAGGAAGUGAUAACUUCAGUGGAGAUGCAUUAAAUCCUGGCCAAUCAAAAGUGCACACAGCUGCUGUUGGAUGGAGUGGAAGAAUAUGGGCUAGAACAGGCUGCAACUUUGACAAGAAUGGCAAUGGCAAUUGUGAAACAGGUGCUUGUGGUACCAACAUUAACUGUACAGGUCCAGGAACCCCACCUGCCACAAUUGCUGACUUUACCCUUGGUGAACCUGAUUUCUAUGAUGUUAGCCUUGUAGAUGGCUUCAAUUUGCCUGUGACAGUAAAAGCUGUUAAUGGCACUGGGAACUGUAGCAUUGCUGGCUGUGAUGGAGAUUUGAGGAAGAAUUGUCCACCCCAGCUAGCUUCAAAGCAAGGUGACAAAGUUAUUGCUUGCCGCAGUGCCUGUGAUGUCUUUAACACUGACGAGUAUUGCUGCAGAGGCACUUAUGGAAACCCUGCUACAUGUUUGUCUUCAAACUAUUCAACCAUGUUUAAACAGGUUUGUCCUGCAGCAUAUAGUUUUGCCCAUGAUGACCCCAGCAUAAUAACAUGCUCGGGAGCAGACUUCGUUAUUACAUUCUGCGGCUUGAGGUAAGUUUAUUCUAGACAAAUCAUAUGUUCAUGCAUUCAUUAUAUACAAAUCAGAUUAAUUCUAUUCCCUCAUCUUCUUAACUACCAUAAUUCUUAUUAAUAUUCAUUUUUGAUACAGGAACCAAACAUUGUGUUCUUAUCAUGGCAAGACAGUUGCAUGCAAUGAAUCUAAUACUUAUAAAGUCAAACCUCGGACAUGGUUGGCCCUGAUCCUGCCAUUGGUAUUCAUGCAGACUUCAUGGAUCACGUGGUAGCAAUUGUGCAUGUACAUUGAAUGUUUUCUCAAUGUUACACUUGAAUAAUUUUUUUUAAUCGCUUGUUUUUUUGCUUUUUUGUCGUAUCAUUGACUUCUGUAUUUCUGACUGUUACCGAAAUUUACUCGGAUGCUUAAAAGCCUCUACAAAUCCAGGCAUAUAGUUUUAUCUGUUGUAAUUAAUCAUGCAUUUUCUUCAAUGGGAACCAACAUUGUUCAACACGAGUAAAAAAAUAAAACUGAAAACUAACCAACUCAAGCGUUCCGUAUAACAAAUCCAAAGGGAGAAAAAGCUAGUGCAAGACCUUUCUACUUUUCUUUACAAAAAAAAAAAUUGAAACAAAAUUUACUUAUUUACAUUAUCUGUUGAUAACACUGAAAAUGGAGGCACUAGCUACCUGGACUUUCCACUGCUCUGAUUUCCUUGUGAUUUUGAUUGGUCCUCAAUUUCUUUCAAGUAAAUUUCUGAUCUGGCUUCUUCAUUUUGGAAUGGUAAAAUUGAGACGGGGGCAGCAGGCACCGCAUGCCACCGUUCUCUCAAAAAUCUAAUGAACUUCUGAGCCAUUUCUCUCCGAAACUCAAGCUCCCUUGUGAACAUAUCCAAGAGAAGAAAGGAAAAGAUGUACUUGAACGGGACAAUGAGGAGUAUGGUUGCAGAAGAUAUCAAUACCAUUGCAAUCUCAGUAGUAAUCUGAAAAAGAAGGCCAUAUUUUACAUCCACAGGAGCAGAAAUCAAAAUAAUAAUAUCAAAUAGCAUACCAAAAACUAGUGUGAGCUUCAACCAAAUAAGAUGUGGGAAUGAAAAUCACAACUAGAUUUCUCAUUACUCUUAAUAAUAUACCUGUGGAUGGCCAGAAAGUAAAAUGGAACGUAUUUUGAGGAGAGAGACAUUCACUUGCUGCAUAAAAUCCUCAACAUCACGCAUGGCAUCUUUUACAGCAAUAAUCUUUUGUAUAGUAUUGGAUGGGGGCUGAUCACGUAUUGUGACUUCACCAAAAGAUCGUCCUAGGCGGCCUUGCUCUUUAAGGGCCCUGAUUGUGAGCAUGCCAACUGCCAAAAUCAUCAGCAUCAUGGGAAACACAUACGACACCAGAUUUCUGGAAAGGCAAAUUAAAACAUCAGCUCAAACAUGUAAGAAAAAGGUGCCCAGAACUAUUAACAAGAACAUCAAUUAGCUUGUGCUGCAAAUACACUAUCCAAAACAUCAACUUGGUUGGAGGGAUCCAUGAAGAUUUAUUUUGCUCUGUUCACCACCAACAACAAUAAAUUUUAUCCAAGUGAGGUUGGUUACAUUGAUCACAUGAUGUCAUUUGGCUUGGUUAAAAACCAAAUUCUUACAGCAAUGUUUUCCACCAUGAAAUUCAUUGUUCACCAAAUCUUGGAAAGUACAUUACAGUUUUAUGGUCCUCACAUUUUGUGCAGGUCUAAACUGUUACUACAGUUAGGUGCAUGAAGAAUGUAAGUCUUACAUAAAUAACAUUUAAGUAAAUAAUUAUCUUUCAUUAAUAAAAGUAAAACAGAAGCUAGAUAUCAAAUUAUCAUCAUGCUGACUGAUGACUGGGAAAACAGCAACCAUCAAUAGCAUAAUAAAAAUGAGGUGAAGAUCUACCUAUAAAGUAUAGUAUAGGUGAGUCCAAGAAAUGCAACAGUCAAGUGUGGCUCCUCCCAAUGCCUAAGCUUUUCAAAGUUUUUCACAAUCAAGGCGAAAGGAAACAUUAGCUCCUGCACAGGAACAAAAUCAAUAUCUAAGAGCUUAUGAUUUUUGGAUCCUAUUCAAAGAAGACAAGAUAAAUAAGCAAUCAUAUAUGAUGGCCUAAGGCACCAUUGCUAAUAAGACUUUGGACAUUGGACUCUUUUACAGUAAACUAAAAUAUCACUGGUUAUAAGAAUGAGUUAAUACAGAUAGCAUUAGCAAUACAAUAUAUUAAAUUCAAUUGAAUACUACUAGUAAAAGAAAAGAAGCAAUAUAUCUUUACCAACCACUACGGUAAUCAUGAAAUUUUAAAAUGAGGACAAAUUUAAAUCUCUCCUCAGGUGGAGGGGAGUGUUGCUAUACAGGGAUGAUCACAACCCCCACCCAUCCACCCAGCCACGUUAAAGGAUAAAAAUUCUGUUCUCAUGAUUCUGGAAAUUUCAUAAAUUAAAAGAAAUUUGAAAAAUAUUGUAAGAAAACUUUUCAAUACUGGCUUUUUAUUGCAAAAAUAGAGGGAUGAGGUGAAAUUAAAUACUUGUAUAACAAAUUACCGUCCCGUGCUUAUACAUAUUUCAGCUAUUCCAAAAUCCUAAUACUGACAGUCAUGGCCUCAUGGCACAAUUAUACCAAUAUCUAGAAGAAAUUGUGAGAAAUAUAAAGCAUGUAAACACUGCUUACUGCCUUUGAAUGAGAGUAUAGAUAACUGGUUUGAAUGUUGUAUAAUCAUAAUCAAGUAGUUACUAGUCACUUAAAUAUCAAAGGAGACAAGAGAGCAAGUUAAGCAUCCCAACCUUGAAAAGAUCAAUGUUGCUGGGUAUGCCUUGUAGAGUUGCAGCAUCAAUGGUGGCUUGAGUCUUCUCCACAACGUGGUACUUUAGUCUGCUUAUUUUUGCUGCUCUUUCUGUGAAUGAUAAAUCAGCCACAACAAGAUUCUUACUCAAUAUUAAACCUUUUACUGAAAUGUUCUUCCAAAAGUUACUGGAAGUACUUGAACCCCAAGAUGGAGAUUUCAUCCACUUCUGCAAGUAGAUACUUCCAUCUAUGUCAAAUACAUGGUUGCGGCUAUCAGCUAUUUCAUCAGAAGGUCGAGUUUCUGACUGAUUGCGGGUAUUUACAUAUCCUGUAAUUAGUGGACCUCCCCAGUAAUUAACAGCUAAAGUUUGGAGGACAAUGUCACCAUGUGGUGCAUUCUGUAAAUAUGAGAACUGAACUAGUUUGGUGGGAUUGUCAAGCAACUUCCGCAAAUAUUGAAGGGCUUGGAGUCUAGCAAUACCAUUAAUAGCAGAGGUUGUUGCCCUAUCACUUCCUUUGCGAGCUCCAUAUACAUUAAAAAGUGACUCAUCAUACUCAUCAGGUCCAUACUCACGUAUGAACCUGUGUAGAGCGAUGACUUCAUUUAUAAGUGCAUGCCAAACAUCCCUCCUCAUCUCACCUCCUAAAUCAAUGAAUUCCAGCACCCACCUAUUCAACCAAAGUAAGAAUAUAAAAGAAACAGAAAAUGCAUUAUUUUAAAACGAGCAGAAAAGCACUGGUGAAAGAGGAGGGCAAAACUGUGGUACUUGAGUUAUUUUAUUUAUGAGAAAAUGGAGAAAAACUGAAGGAGAGUACGAUAUUCUCCAUAACUUUUAUCAGCUGAGUAUUUAGAAUGUUUAGUUGGACUUCAUCUUUUUUACCCAGACAUAUUUUUCUGAUAAAGCUGAGUUCUAUUUACCCAGACUCAUUAGAACUAAUAAAAAAAAAUGCUGGAAGAAGCUUACUCACUUUGUUUCUGAGCCAGAGGAAACAGAAACAGCAGAGUCAAAAAGUGAAGAUCCUAACGGCCCAACCUUUGCCUUCUCUACUUGUAAACCAUUACUUGUAAGAUCCAAUCUCAUGGCUCUCUUCUCCCCCAGUAUGCUAACUGUCUGGAACAUAUAGGUUUGAAAAGAACAAUCAAACAAGAUGGUGAUUACUUUUUUUUAUUAUACAAACUCUAUAUAGCUCUGUAACACUUAACAGACUGUAAUAAAUAUCAAACCCACCUAAGAUCUGAAAAUGUAACGGGAUUGUUACAGAAUAUAACUAAGUAUACAACUGUUCAAUUAUCACAGAACAUAUACUACUAACUGUUUAACAUAUUAAAAUACUACUAUAAUAAUAACCAUAGUAUAGAAUCAUAAAAUACCUCAAAAUAGAUUGCUUUAUCUGUUAGAGUAAGUUUGCCAGGCCAGGCCAUAUUAUUCUCCCAUUUCAAAACAGGUCGCUUACUGUUGGAACUAGUGCAUAAAAUUCUCUCCUGAGACAGUUGAGGAAACUCUGGAAUCUGAUGCGAUAUCUGUUUUUGACGCACUCUACAGUAAUAUCAGUACAAGUUUAGCACAAAAAAGUUGUCAUACAGAGAAUGUUUAGAAGUUCUGAGGUCGUUCCAGCACUAUUAAGCAAAGAGCGUGUCACAGAACAAACCAUAAAAUGAAAAAUGCAACUAAAAUGUAUAUCAUCUCUUUUUAUAUUUCAAGGCUAGACUAAAGCAACUGUACCAUAUGUUAGGUCUAUUUACCAUCUGAAGCAUCAGAACUAACAGUGAACCUUUAAUGCAACAGAUUUAUUUCGUAAUAGCUUACAUAAACCUUCAUCGUAGCAAAUUAGAAAAUUCAAGAGAAAAUAAGAGAAAGGAGUCGUCUGAAGCAAAGACAUUAUAAACAGAAAGUUUAAAAAAGUGAAUAAAAGAUGAAACAAAUAAUCAUUCAUCGUUUUAUUUUUAAGAAAUUAUGACAAUUAAGAGGAUCUUUUCACAAAAAAUCUUAAUUCCUUCAUCAUGCAAAAAUGAAAUUUCAUUCCUUCAUGCAUUAAUUAUCUUGGAUAAAAUGAGAAUACCUAGUGCAUUAGAAGAAUUUGAGAUUUGAAAAUUGGAAAACCGUUACACAUUGUUUAUAUUUCACCAACUUGAAAGUCAAAAACACAUGUUGCUUGGAUGUCUUCUAAGAUCAUCACAUCAUUGACAAAAUGAUGACUAACAACUCACUUGAUAAACUCAUUAAUGUAAUUCAGCCAUGAGCUCACAGAAAUGCCCUCUUGAUUGCCAGCAAGAGCCUUGAAAAGAUUGUGCACUGUGGGAUGGUCAACCACACCAGAGAUUGCAGGAGCAAUACGAAUAAAAGCCUCCUCCGUGACAAGUUUAUUCUGCUAAGCCCACAAAAAAUUACAUAUAUGAAGUGAUCUCUCAAAAUCAUAAAGAAAAAUGACAUAAUGCAAUUGUAAUGAAGAAAAUAGCUAGAAAUCCUUGAACCAAAUAUCUCCCGGUUUCAAUGUUCUAUUAUGAUAUCAUUGAUUUAAUUCAUUAGAUUGAUGAAAUAACUUUUCCCUAGAUUAUCAUUCACAAGAUGGACACAUUUCUUGUGCAACAGGGUGGAUACUUUAUAUUUAAAAGUAAAAUACUUUCUAGUUGGUCAUCAACGUCACCCUUAGAAGUUCAAACAUCGUGGUACCAUGCAAAAGGUCAAUUAGUGGGAGAAUUCCCGACAAAAUGCUAUCACUCUUCUCAUAUCUCCCAUAUGCAAUCACCAGCAAAUGCAAUGCUGGUAGGGCACCUGAAUUACAUUAACUAAAGGAAAGAACUGAACCUGUAAAGAAGUCUUCUCUGCAUUGCUGGAAAGGUUGUCGGUAUAAGGAUUGUCCCAGGCAACCAUGGUUAUGAAUAUCAACCUCUGGAAGGCAGGGUCCUACAAACACAUCCAAAAGCAAUAAACAUUGCAUUUCCCUUUUGGAAAUAAAAGAAUAAAGUUUAUUUGGCAUUACAGCAUCUGAUAAUUAAAUGGUAGAAAGUAAAACAAAGAAAUCCAGUAAAUUAGGCUUCUUUUAUCAUUGCUGUUUUUCUACCAUUCAAAUUUGCCAAAAAACAAUUUGUUUUAUAGCAAUUUUUCAGAAAAUUAUUUCAUGGUAUGUGUGUGCUUCCGUUGGGUACCUAAAAGAAAAAUAAUAGAAAGAUUCUUAUGGAAUAGGAUGAAAAGAACAAGAAGAAGGUUCUGAGUUGAUGCUGGUGAGAUAGGUAGGAGAAAGUUCUGAGUUGAUGUCUUUACAUCCUAACAGCUUCCGUCUUUUGGAGGGAGGCUGCACUAUUCUUUACCACUAGAUAGGUAGGAGAAAGUUCGGAGUUGAUGCUGGUGAAAUUGACGACUAGUGACUCCAAACAAUACAAAUGAUGAAGAGCUCGUCAAACAAGGUAAGGGCUCAGGUAUGAACAACUAUUGGUGAGAUUGAGGAUUCACAUUGAGGUUUUAGGUGAAAAGCAGCUGAAGAUGUCACAAACAUACACAUGAGACUUGGUAUUCUUGAGGUAGACAACCAAUCAGCUUGGACCACCUUCAAUGGCUAGCUGGCAUUUGAUGAAAUGCUUGACCAUCUUGUUCGUGCUAAUAAGAAACAAGGAUUUAGUAGUCCUCGAACAGCUGGAAAAGACUAGAGCAGAGGGCAGUAAAAACAUGGGAAGGAGGAGUGGUGUUGAUCAGAUAGAUGAAAAGAAAAAUAUGCAGAUACAUGAAAUAUAAAGCAUUACUUUGUUUGUGUGAAAAUUGUGUUCAGUAAAUCAAUUUAAAACAUGUAUAAUGAACAAGGGAAAAAAAGCUUUCCCCAACUUUAACGAGAAAAAUAAAAUGAUAAAACAGAAAUUCAUAUGCAUGUCUCGUGAAACCAUGAGGAGCUUUGAUAAAACAAAAACAGAAAAUGAACUUCAGAACAUGGCUUCCAACAUGCCAUAAACAGAACAAUAUUCUAUACCUGGAGGGAAGGAUGAAUAGCAGAACCAUCCCUAGACAAAAAUCUAAAGCAGCAAUAUUCAACCAAAUUACGGGCAUCAUUAUAUACAGAUUCAGGCACUAGAGCUCCAAAUAUUUUCUGCAUUUUCUUCCCAGUCAAUCCAUUCAUCCUGCAUAUCUUAUUUUUAAAAGGUCAAAUAAUAAUUUUUAUAUCCGUUUGAUAGGCAUGAAGCAAGCAAGAAACACAAAAAAGACAAGACCCUUGUUAAUGGUGCUUCAUACGAUCCAAUUUUCCAUUCAAAUUAAAUUAAAAUACGCAAACACGUGCCAAUUGGUGAUAAUAGAACAUAAUCUCACAUGGCAACAGCCCUCCCUGUUAAGAUCAGAGGUGGGCGUGCUUGAUGUUGUGGGUCCAUUCCUCCACAAUCCCCUGGGAAUUCAGGCUUCAUUGAAGUUGAGAAAUAAACAUCCAGAAUUCCGAAUAAAGAUAAAAAUAAUUUGGUUUCUAAGAAAGACUUUAGUACAAACACGGUUUCCCUUCUCCCCAAACAGAAAAUCUCGUCCCUCCAAAACACUAGGAAUAACAGUCUAACAUCUUAAGUCCCUUUCAGAAGUCUGCAACACUACCUAUAGAUCACUAGAACUGUGAGAGCACAAACUAUAACUGCCAAAUCCAAAAUUAAUACGAAACUAACUGUGUGAUACAUAACUAUAAUAAAUCAGAGUUUGUGCAACAAGACAAUCUAUAUAACCCAGAAAAUUAAAGUAAUAUACAUCCUAAUAGGAAAGCUGUUAAGCUACACAUUUAGUAAAAAUGAUAAAUUGAAAAUUACAUUCUUGAAUACGUCAGUCAUAGCUAGCAAGAACCACACUUCUUAUUUUUGGAUUAAAUAAAACAAUUUAAGAAAGUGCUGAAAUUAUCAGAACCAAUACCUAAUCAUUUUAAGGCAAAAGAAAAGGAAGAGCAGAAAAUAUACAUUAUGAACUGUAUUCUCUUAUUACACUAUUUUUUUCUGUAAUUUUGAGAAUAAAUAAUUUUACCAUGAAUUCCAAUUGCAAAAGUAAAAACAUAUUUCAUAAAGCACUUCAAUUAUAUACUCUGAUCUUGAAUUUGCUAAUGUAAAACUUUUUUUAUUAAUGCACUUCAGUUAUAUACUUUAAUCUAGAAUUUGUUAAUGUAUAAUCCUUUUGAUGAAUGCAUUGACCCAAUGACCAAAUCAAAAAUUUUCACCCAAAAGUGAGUAAGUGUAUUCACCUGCUGAAUUGUUCAAUACAAAUUACAGCGGCUAGAGAAAGAACCCCACUUGGCGUUCUGCGGUCAAUUGUCUGCUCUAUCAUAAAUAUGUCUUCCAUGAAUUGAAAUCCAAAAUCAUCUACAGGACCAGGCUUCUUACUUUGACCAGGUUUUGCACGGGGAAAAGUCACUUCAUUCAAAAAAUUUUGGGUCCUUGACAUCAAUACAUUCAAUCUUUCUUGAAUAGAACCUUUGAAAAGGAAAUCGAAGUUUAAUAAUUCAAAUAAACAGCCAGAAUGAGAGGCACACAAAAAAAUACACUAUAAAUUUAGAGAUGGUAUAUCCUUUUAACCUCGUCCUAGUUUCACAAACUUAAAAAAAAGGAAAAACAUUUAAUAUUGAGAAUUGGAAAAUAAGCUGAUUUAUGAUGAGAACUUAGAUACUAAAAGCUAAAAUACCAAGUAAUCACAUGCAACAAGCAAACAGCUCGGGCACAAGGUUAUCAAGUGGAGAUUCAAAAUGUGAAUUGUCAAACUAGCUUUUGAAUCUUGAGUCAUAAUUUGAACUGAAUGACAAGAUUCAAAGACAGUGGAAAAAUAGCAUCAAAUAUAUCACAGAUUAUACAUACUGUUCAAUCAAAUAAUUUUAAACUAGAAAUAGACCUUAUAUAUAAGUAUGUAAACUUGGUAAAGGCUCUACUUUGAAAGAAUGGAAACCAAACAACGAAUAGCCAAUUAGAAUGCAUGAAUUGAAUGAGUAAAAUAACUUAUAAAGCAGUGGAAUAACCAAAUAAGAUUAGUUCAAAAGUGUUUUUUCUUCCUUUUUCAUUUUAAGAAUUUAAACUUAUAUAACUUUCCAAUUCGUUUCAUGAAAUUUGGUAAAAGAAAAAGGAAAGAAAGACAAUUGUUGAACUGUAUGAUUCACCAAUUACUUCGUGUACAGUAAGAUUGAAAGUCAUUUGAGAUUCAUCUUAUGAUACAAAUGGAUAUGCAGCAAAGUUGGAUGGAUAGGAAGUUUCAAUUUGUGAAUGAAGUAAGUAAAGAACUGAAUAGAUGUGUCGGGUGUGGCCAUGAAUGAGAGAAAAAUUAUUAAAAAAAUAGUAGUUUAAGAAUAAUUGCAUGUGAAUUGAGCAUGGUUGGAAACACAAAUAAGAACCACACAUGUAAUCCAAUCAAACCAAACUUAAACAAUAAAGUUAAAAGGUGUGAUGGCACUUUGAGAAUAAGAAGUCAGAAGAGAAAGUACCGGUACUUAUGUCAUUUAGCUUCCAUUUAUCCCCCAAAGACUGUGGCACAAACUUGAACGGAAACUUUUGCUCUGAGAAUACUCUUCUUGAAUACUUGUAUGUAAAAAAACCUCUGUGCGCAGAAAUCGUGUAUCUAGGUGAUGUCCCCAUUUGGGUCAUCGGAAACUUUGAGCCCAUCAUAUAUUUUCUUUGAUUCUGUACUCAAGAUUCAAUCUUUGAGAAGCAUCCAACAAAAUACAGAGAAUUAAUUGGUUAAAAUGGAAGAGGGUGAGACUUGAGAGAGAGAAAAUGAUAGAGAUCAUCCAUUCAUGCUUUUGCUGUUCUUCUGAUUGCUCUGCUCAUGUCUUGUUCAGGAAAAGAAAAAACAUAUAAUUGUUAAUUGUGUUAUUAAAAAAUUAAUAAUUAGUGUUUUAUACCGACUCAUCACAUGUACAUUUUCCGAUCAAAAUCACAUGUACACUGAGAGAUGAUCCUAUCCGUCCAAGACAUAACCGAACAGCCAAUAAGAUUAGAACGACUAAUAAAUAUCUUCUGUUAGGUAUUUGGAACAAUUUAUAUAUAUAUAUAUAUAUAUAUAUAUAUCUAUGUAUAUAUAUCAUAGCCUAGAAAAUAUACAUAUAGAUUAGAUUAAAUUUUGAUAUUUAUUUCUGGUCAAAUUUAAACAAAUAAUUAUUUAUGCAGUCAAUCAAUCUAAUUAACAUGUAUAAUUUGUACUAAAUUCAAAUCAAUUACUUGUUAAGAGAAAGUGAUACAAAUUAGUUAAAUCUACUUCUUCUAUGGUUAUUAUUAUUUUCAAUAAUUUACCAUUAAUAAUAUUAAAUAUAUUUUUUAAUAUAAUUUAGAGGAAUUAAUGUAAUCUUAAGUUUCCAUAUAACUUUUAUUGUAUUUUUUGUUAAGAAUUUUAAAAACUAUAUCGCAUAUAAUAAAAAUAAAAAAUAAAUAAAUUGACAUAGGUGCAUGAGAGUUUAAAUCCAAUAUAUCAACUAAUGUUUUUUUAUAUAGAAGAUGAAUUUACUGAAAAAUAACAUAUGAUAAAUUCAAAUUAACAUAAGUUGAAAGAGAUAGUAUUCAAAUAAAUAAUCAGUUAAUUUAUCAUUUUUUUGGUUAUUAAUAUAUUUUAUAUUUUUAUUGAAUAUUUAUAGUUUAGUAAUUAAGUUUUUUUUUUUCCUUCAAAAGCAAACAAUACAUAUUUCUAAAAUGUUUUUACAAUCCUAUUAAAUUAUUCACAAUCCUUUUUAUUUUGAAUAUUAAUAAUUAGUAUUUGUGAUCGAGUGAUAUGAGUUCCGUAUAAUCUUAUAUCAAAAGUUUUUUUAAUAUAGGAUUAAAAUGAAUUUGUUCUCUUAAAAUGAAUAAUUGUAUGAAAAACGUGUUUAUGAUUGAAAAUACUUUCGCUUAGAAGAUAUUAUAUAGACUUAGAAGAAACUUGUUUUAAAAGAGAAUAUUAGUGAAAUCUAAAUGUAAAUCUAAAUCAAACCAUAACAAGUAAAAAUAGAAAGAUAAUCGACGUAUAAAGUAAAAGUUCAUAAAUCAAUUAUCACUAUACUUGAAAAUAAAACUAAUAUUAAUCUAUUAUUUGAAUUGGAGAGAAAUUUGUCAUUUUCUCAAAAACCCAUAAAGAAUUGACGUAAAAACAUAUAUAAUAAAACAUUAAAUUAGAUUUGAAGUUAAAAUUAAUGAUAAUCUUUUAUUUAAAUUGAACUUAAAUAUCAUCAAUAUUGUCUCUUAGUUAAACUUCCUUAUAUGUCUAUAAAGAAUUGACAUAAAAGUUUUAUCUAAUGUUUGGAGUCAAAAUGUCAAUAUUGAAAUGAAAACUAAAUAAAAUCUCAUGAUAAAAUUACUUAGAAUAGCCUAUCAAUAUAUUAAAAUCACAAUAAAUUAAGAAAUUAGAUAUGAAAUAUGAAAUAUAACAUUUUUUUACAUAAAUUAAAAUGAAAUAUAAAAAGAAGUCUAAAAAUUCAAUAAAUUUUAAAAUAAAAAUUUCUACCAUAACAUCAAUUUGUAUGGAACCUAUAAAACGUAUUUAUAGUUUUAAGAAAAUAAAGUACAACAAAACAAAAAUUUAUACAAUUUUAUUAACAUUAACCAUAUUAUGCAUCAUAGUUUUUUAUUUAACAUAUCAUCUUAUAUAUAUUUAUAAUAAUUUUAAAGCAUAAAUCAAAAUUAUAUCACUAAAUUAAAUAAUAAUAAUUUAAAUAUUUCUCAAGACAUUAAUUAAAAUUUAAAAUUUUAUACAAUUUGUUAAUAAUAUAAAAAAUAGUUAGACAAAUAAAAUAUGUAGUAUCAUAAUUUCAUUAUUUUUAAUAAUUUUCAUUCUUAAAAAAAAUCAAUUUAUUUUUUUAAUCAUACAUAAUUUUAAUAAAAGAUUUUAUUUAAAGAAUUAUCUUAUAUUGGAACAUUAUUUAGGUACACAAUUAAUCUUAAAAAGCAAAUGUUUUGUUUAUUUCAGUAUGAAAGAAAGGGUGCAAGAGAAAAGAAAAAGGUGUAAUUUGACUAAGGCAUGGCCUUAUCUUCUCCUUCCUUCUCUUCAAUUCUGAACACCACAUCUUCACUACCCCAUUUCCAUGCUCCAAAACUUUCUUCUUCUUCUCACUUCCCAAUUACACCUUCCACUACCCAUCUUCCUCUCUCCCACAAAUGGAGAGCAAAGGUUUCAUUUUUCCCUUCUUUCUUGAAGAAACGGAAAGAUGCCAAGAUCAUCAAGGAAGAACUCCUUCAGGCCAUUGAACCGCUUGAUCGAGGGGCUGAUGCCACUCUCCAAGACCAGCAAACAGUUGAUCAGGUUAAUUGCACGUCUUUCAUGUCACUCUUUCUUCAUUUCUUAAAUUAAGUCUUGUCCACAACAAUAAAAGCUAAUUUACUCUACUUUUUUUUGUUUUGUUUAACUACUUAGUGUUGCUUAUUUUGUUCAUGAAACUCUGCAUUAGUUUACUCUGUGAAAUUCUAAUUCUGAUAUAUAAUGGUGUGGGUUUUUUUGAUUAGUUUUCUCUCAAUAGAAUUGCAUUUUUAUUCUUGAUUCGUGCAAUUUUUGUCUAAAUAGAUUGCUAGCGAACUUGAGAAAGUUAGUCCAAUAAAGGAGCCCCUGAAGUCUAACCUACUGGAUGGAAAGUGGGAGCUUAUAUACACUACGUCGCAGUCAAUUUUGCAAACCAAGGUAAACAAAUUUUUCCAUGGCUUAAAUUCAUGUUUAUGGUUAUAUUCCUGUGAUGAAUCAUCUAAAUUGAGGAUAGUCAAGCAAAAUAAAACUACAUAAAAAAAACAAUGAACUAUUAUGGAAAAAAAAAAACUUAUCUGAGCUGUUCUUGUAGUUUAGUUUUUUAGAGUUGAAUUACUCCUCAACCAAACCGUUUUAAACUGAACCUCAGUUUAAUUGAGUCGAACCCACUUUUAUAUUUCAAUUCAGCUCUACAAUAAUUUAGUUCAAUUCAUGCAUUUGCCCACUCCUAUCUAUAUUAUAUACUAUGAUGCAUAUAAUGUUUGCAAGCAUAUUACAGGUUGUUUCCUUCUUUUCUGUGUUCACAUGUUAUUUUUGGAGGAAAGAAUCAUGGUUACAGAUGGCACUUUUGAAUUCUGUUCAUAAUGAGUUGUGAUAAAUUUACGUAUGCUAGGUUAAAUUUGAUAUUUGAGGAUGAAAAUCUAACAAGAGUAAUAAAUUAAGAAAAUAAAGUUUUACCCUAGAUAUGAUAUAAUCAACUCCUGUACUUUACAUGCAUUAAAUGAAGUUCAAAAACCUUACUCUUUGAUUUGGAGAGUUCAUAAUAAUAGUAUAUCAUAAAUGUAUUGUAUUCAUUGAAUAAAUAUACAUUUAGUUGUAGAAAAAAUAUACAACCACCUGAAAAUUAGAGAGAUUUUUUUUUUCAUUUUUUUUUUGGUUUUUGAAUUCCUCCCAGCAUGGAAUUGUCUAUUUAAUACUGUUCGGUAGUUAAAUUAUCUAUCUAAUUGUUUUCUCUUUUAUCAAAUAUGAUACAAACAUAUAAUAUUAAAAAGUAUAUACAUGAUUAAGAUUUGAGGUAGAAUAUUCAAGAAGCUGCCAUUAUAGCUCUAUGCCUUCAUUAACAAUGCUACAUCGAUCUCCCACUUUGUCUAUAGUUUAGAUCAUACAAUUGUCAAUACACGUGCAAAUAUUUUCAGAAAAGGAAAAUAUAAGACCAAUAUGUAUUACAUUUAUUCAGUCAUUUACUAGCCGUCUAACAUUAGUAUCAAAACUAGUUUCUCUAUGUUUGUUGAAUUUGUACUUAUACCGAAGGAAGUCCACAACACUGUUCUUAUGUGAUACUUGACCUAUAUUUUAACAAGCUUUCACUGAAUUCCAAGAUAUCCAUUUUACUUUUAUUGUUCCCUUUUAUUUUGCAAGAUUGGAUAAAUCUGUAAUAUAUUUAAAAAAAAAAAAAUUCUCCCCCUUGCCAGCUAACUUUUUCAUUAAUGUAAUGAUAGAGACCAAAGUUGUUGAGAUCAAUUACAAAUUAUCAAGCAAUCAAUGUGGAUACUCUAAGGGCCCAAAAUUUGGAAUCUUGGCCAUUCUUCAACCAGGUAAAACUUGUGUUAGGACAAGUUUUCACUCUUGAUCCAUUCUCACUUUGGCAAUUGCUUGUGUAAACAAAAACUCAGUAUUGUGUAGGUGACAGCGGAUUUAACACCUCUAAAUCCAAGGAAAGUGGCAGUAAAAUUUGAUACUUUCAAAAUUGGAGGCAUUGUAAGUAUUCAGUUCAGAGUCUCAAUAGUUAUCAUUGGAAUUAUAUUUUAGCUGACAUUAGAUUAAGAAGGAGGGAAUAAAGUUUUGCAAAUUCUGUAAAAGUUUAUCUGCAAAUUCCAUUAGUCACAGUGUUCUACCCCUUUAAUUUGGAACUGGUGAAUUGCCCAAAUGAAUGAGUAAUGUGUAUGUAUAUUUCUGCCCUGUUGAAUUAAUAUUUAGUCCAUCACAAUGUACAAAUGCAGAUACCUAUUAAAGCUCCCGGAAGAGCUCGUGGGGAACUGGAAAUAACAUAUUUGGAUGAAGAACUGCGGUUAGUUACCGGCUAUGUUACAUGCAGAGAAUGUUUUUGUUGGAUCCAUGCUUAUUCUUUUUGGAGAAAAAGAUGUUUUUAUCUCCAUUGUAAUUGUUUUCUUGACAGCUGCUAUAGAUACCAAAAACUCAUUGCAUACUGUCAUAAUAAUGUAACAGGGUAUCAAGAGGCGAUAAGGGAAACUUGUUCAUCUUGAAAAUGGUGGAUCCAUCUUACAGAGUUCCUGUAUAAUGGCAUUGUCAGCAUUGCAGUGCAACACUUGUGUUCAAACACUUUCUGUAGAAAGAGAUAAGAGCAAGUAGUAUGAGCACAAUCUUAAGCUCUAAAUGAGUUCUACUCUUUCAUCCCUUGAAAUUUGUAAUAUUGUACUAUAUGAGAAAAUGUAUGAUUCAAACGAAGUGGUUAACUACAUUUAUGGAUUUAAAACCUCCAAAAAAUGUUGAAGUAAAAAAUUUGGUCACCAAAAUAAAAAAUCAACCAUUAAUAUUUCAAUGUACAUUUUUGUCUGCUAUAGAUCUUCUGACGAUAGAAGAUAUAAUUUCCUUCAAAGUAGCUAUUUUUUUUUUCCAUGCUAAGUUGAUAUCUAAUAGAUUGAUUUGAAAACAUAUAUGAAUUUAUCUAUAUACCAAACAUGGACUGUUUACUUAUUUAUUUAUCAAUGUUUUAACUGUAGCAGAUCCAAUAUUUAUUCAUUAUGAUAUAAUUUCUUAACAUUAUAAAUUUUGCAAGAGAAAAAAUUGUUUGUAUUCAAUAUUUAAUAAACAUAUCUUAAACAAGAUUUUUUUUUCUGAAGAGAUAAGUGAGAUAUGAUAAAUACAUGGUUUAAAAUGAAAUAAAAAGAAACAAAGAAAGAGGAAAGAAAGACACGUUUAAUAUUUAUAUUUAACAUUUAUAUUUAACAUUUAAUAAUCACUAUAUUAAAAUUUGCUAGUAUUAUUUUUGAAUAUUCCAUUCCUUUCCUAUGAUACAUAUAAAAGGAAAUUCAGAAAGAAUGAUAACAUAUAUUUUGGAAAGAAAGUUGAAAAAAAUUAAAAUUAUAAGUACACUCUGCAUAAUUGCAUCAUAUACAAUCGAAAUUAUUGUGUAUCAUAUAUAUUAGAAUUAUUAAGUAUUUUUUUUUAUAAAUAUACACAUAUUCUUAUUCUUAGACGUAUUAGUGUAUUUAUUAUUAUACCCUCUUCGCUCCGCACUGAAUUUGUUUGAACGGUCAACAAAAUUUGAAAUACCUCGAAAAAAGAAGCGGGAUAAUUUCUAUUCCACCCUCCUCUUCUCCAAUUUUUUAGUUUAUAAAGGCAAAACAACAUUUUAUGUUUCAAUACAUUUUCGAAAUCUUUCUCUCUCUCCCCUUAGAGAAGUUUGGGAUAGCCCAAAGGGUGACUAUGCCCCCGAGAUUGGAUCUUCAUUCUCUUUGAAUUUCUCGCUCCGUAAGCUGUUUCUUAGACUGUUUUUUUUUGUUUCAGUCUUGUUGAACUAUAAAAAAGUUGUUAAUUUUGAGUUUGAUGUAUUACUAGUUCUUUACAUACGCAUUGAAGGUGUUCUUUCAAUCAAUUUCUAAGAUCUGGUAUUAGUUUUCUGUCCAUAAUUAUGAUAUAAUGUUUAAAUCUCGUCUAGGUUGUCUCUAUUAUGAUGUGCGUUGCUUCAGAAAUAGUAUUUAGAAUCCGUGCACAUAGUUCUGAGAUGUAAAUUAUUGAACUGCAUAGUGGAAUAGAGAUUAAAAUAAUUAUGAUUCUUUAAUUUUUCAACUUUAUUCUUUGUCCAUGUUGCUGUUUUGGAAAAAUAUUUUUUAAUCUGUCUAUGGGCAAUUAUUUGUGUUUUUUUUUUCUCAGCUAUGGAUUCUCUCCCUGAUGCCAUUCUUCAAUGCAUCUUGUCACGUAUUUGUAAUGCUCGCGAUGUGGCUUGUUGUAAUUGUGUUUCUAAGCGAUGGAAGGACUCGAUGCUUUACAUCAGAACUCUGUACUUCCCUCGCAACUCGCUUGAUGACACUUCGGCUGGUGAGAGUCCGGAUGAGGUUGUGAAAAGAAUGGUAUCAACAGUUGUGCGGCUAGAACAUCUAAUUGUAUACAGCCCCUUCUCAUCUUCUGGCCUUGCUUCAUGGCUAUCACUAGUUGGUCUAUCUCUUUCACAGCUUGAGCUUCGAUUGGACAACCUUGCUGACGAACAAUCCUACCAUGAAGGCCCUUCAAAAUUGGAUUGCAUUGGUGCAGCAAGGAAUUUGAAAUGUCUCAAACUCUGGGGUGUCUUAAUGUCACGUUCCCCAGAAUGGGAUGUUUUUGAAAAUCUUAGGACACUGGAAAUGAUUGGUGUAAGAUUGGAGGAACCUGCAUUGGUUGCGGUGCUUCAGUCAUGCCCAUAUCUGAGAAGGUUUGUCCUGCUUGGCUGUGAAGGGGUUAGAUCAAUCUCAAUUGACCUUCCCUAUUUGGAGCAGUGUAAGCUGGAUUUCUAUGGUUUGGGAAACUGUUCACUGACACUAACCUCAUCCAAAAUUGUAUCUCUUGAGGUACAAGGUUGUAGUUGGAUUAGGGUUCCUGAAUCCCAGCAUUUGAGGAAUCUUUCAAUAUCCAAUAGUGCAGGUAAUUCAAUUUUAAAGUCAUUCUUAUACUUUCAUUUUCUUGGCCUUUUUUUUUUGUUCCAAAGUAAACUACAAUGUAAUUGUCUUUUUUGUUUAGUAAGCCUAAUAUUCUCUCUUUUCAUUCUGAUUGAUUCCAGGGAGAGUUUACAUGGUUGAGUUUGGAAACCUUCCAGCUUUGGAGUUCCUGUCUAUGAGGGGGGUUCAGUGGUGCUGGGAUGCAAUAUGCAAAAUACUAAAAUUGGCAAGUGAGGUGAAGCAUCUUUUUAUGAAGGUGGAAUUCACUGGGAACUUCGAGGCUCUUCAACCCUUUCCCGAGGUUGAUUUUGUUGAUUUUUUCAACAGCCAUCCCCACCUGCGCAAAUUUGACAUCCAUGGAGCCAUGUUUGCAGCACUUUGUCAGAAAAACAGUCUGAAACAUGUAAAUUUAUAAUGACAUUUUUUAUAUUAUUCAUCUGACAAAGGUUGUUAUAUGUAAUCUUAUCUAAUGAAGAUGAUUCGUCUGCAGGUGGAUCCGGGAUUUUUAAUUCCAUGUUUGGAGGAGGUUGUGAUCACAGUGAGAUCACCACUAAAUGCUGAACAAAAAAUGAAUACUCUUGAAUCCAUGUUGAAAUACGGCAAAAAUUUAAGGACCAUGGUUAUCAAGAUUCUUCAGAUGAAGAGCACUCAUAACAGUGCUGACGAUUUUUUUGAUGAGAUUUGCCGGUUUAGAUACAUGAACCACAGGAUAGUUCGAAUAGAAUAAAGAUUAGAAGAUCUUUGCAUUUUUAAUGCAGGAGAUUGCGUGCUGGUUUCCAAUUUCAAUUUUGAGGAGCUCAUGAUUUUGAUUGUUUUUUGAAAAUUGAUAACCUCCCAUUUUGGGGAGUGAAUGGUUUACCAUUUUACCAGUUUGGGUACAAGAUAAUAAUGCCGCUACCAUAUUUUCCUCUAAGAUAAGCUAAAUUUAAAUUUGAUGCAAUUCAUUUGAUGUUAUGGCUAUGGUUUGAUUGGUAUGAUACUGCACCAUUACAACCUUAAUAAUGUUAUGUUAUAUAAUUAACUUCAGCAAAUUAUAUAAAUGUUUCCAUAGUCUGAAGCUAGUACAAAUCGAGUUCAGAUUUUUGCUGCACUGUUUCUUUGUUGAAUUUUCAAAAUAAUUGUUGUUGGUAUAUUAUUUUUUUUAAUAUAUUUUAAAAUAUUAAAAUCAGUGUUGAUCAAUAUAUUUGAAGCCUCGAGGAAUCAUAUAAAAAAUUCAGUACAAAAAUCUAAAUUCUUACAAAUCUAACAGUUAAGAGAAAAGGGCGAGGAAUAUACUGUUUGUGCAUCGAUAGAUUUAAGAGCCAACCCUUGACCAAUGAUCAAUUCUUUAUAAAGUUGACUACUCUCAACCAAUGCUUCAUAGGGCAACUUCUUUCUACAGUAUGUUAAAUUUUAUAUUUCAAAUUAUAUAAUUCAAAAUGUAUUUUUUUAAUUUCUAUUCGAAAAUAUGUGAUACAAUUUUUUCGAAUUUCACAAAGUACAAUCCGAAAAAAAAAAGUAUGUCGUAUUAUACAAAAAAUUUUAUAUUCUAAAUUGGGAUUCUAUAUUCUAAAAUACAAAAAUUUGUAGCAGUGCAGGUUAUUUCAAAUAAUGGAGGUGAAGCAAGAAAUGACCCAAAUUAAGUUUUAUUGGACCAACCCACAAAUCAGCCCAAAUCAGCCCAUGACCUAGUUUUAAUGUUUUUUUUUUUUUUACUUCUUUUCUAAAAUACACCACUUCAAUUUUUCCUAAUUGUUUUUUAAAGAAAAAUUAUAUUCUCACAUAUAAAUUUUUUACAUUUAUUUUGUAUUAUUUUUAUUACUUUUUACUUUUUUUUAAAAUACAAAAAAGUUAUUGUUUUAUAAUAAUUUUAUCUUUAUAUUCUCCAUCGAAUAAAUAUAAAAAUUGUGUAUUAUUAUUAUUAUUAUUAUUUUUCAACUAUGUUUCAAACUUUUUGUCUUGGUCCAACCAAUAAUGUAUGGAUAGAAAAAAAAAAUCUGUUUUGGGCAUAGUCGAACAUAGCAGUUAAUUUUUCCCAAAGAAAGUAAUUAAUAAAUCAUAGUAUUAUUUUAUAUAAAAUUUUGCAACAACAAAAGUAAAGUGAAAAUAAUCCUUCCAUGUUUUAAUUUUCUAACUAGCCUAUUUUUGCUAACUUGAAAUUAACUUUUACUCAGUUUCUAAAAGUUCUCGUCUCUAACAUUUUCAUAAACACGCACAAAUUGUAAACCAAUCAUUUUAAUUUUAAGUUCAGAACCAAAUGUUUACUUCAAUUAAGAAGUUCUCAUCAAUCAGUAGUGCUUUCCACAUUUGAAGUUCACAAAUUAAAUGUGAUUUUACAAGUUAAUUAAAAGGAAGAUGAUAUUUUAACAUCAUUUUUUGAUACCAUUUUGACACUGCACACGUGGUUGGACGAUUUCAAAUUAAAAAAACAAAUUUUAGUUUUUCUUUUUCAAAUAUACCCCUGUCUCAACUUUUUUAAUUUGAAAUCGUCCAAUCACAUUUUAACACGUGUGCAGUGUCAAAAUGGUGUCAAAAAAUGGUGUUAAAAUAUCAUUUUCCUAAUUCAAACUAGACAAAAGCAAAAUUUCUAUGGACAAGCUGCAACAAUUUCACUACUUGUGAAAGAAGCAAAGCUCAUGAAAAUGCCUUCUUUAAAAAGAAAAAGAAAAAAAAAAAAGAAGAAGCUUGGCAGCAUCUAAAUAAGCUUUUUCUUGUGGAAGUAUCUCUUCAAAUGCAACAACUGCAAAACUGAAACUAUGAUGCAGACACCUAAGGACAAAAAGCUAAACCACACCACUCUCGCAUUCGUUGAUUCACUCAGGUUCCUCAACUCUGCUUCCCUGAUUAUAUUUCACAAAACAGAACAAAUAUCAUACAUCACAAAAUCUCUACAACACAUUUUACUAUGUAAUUUAUUCAACUUACCUUCCCCUCAGAUGCAUCAAAUUCUCAUAGAUAGACUCCACCGAUCCUUCUAGCCUUUUCAACUCCAGUUCUACUCCCUACCCAUCAAUGUCAAAUCAAAUGUAUACCAAGAAUUCUCUAUACUGAGAAAAUAUACUUUAAACCUAAUUCAAUAUUAGAUAACUUUAAAUUUCGACUUUAACUUUACGUUAUAAUUAAAUUUUAGGUCUAAUUCAACUCCACAAAAGUUUGUAGGAUUUGUAAAGUGAAGUUUGUACCUACUUAUUUACGAAUUGAUUUUAUCUCUACUGACGAUGUGUAACUUUCAACAUGAAUUCUAACAAAAAUCAUAUUGAUUAGUUUUAGAUGAAAUGGUUUACCUGAAUCUUCUCUCUUUUAGCAACAGAAUCCCAAUCCUUAGCUUCAAUUCCAGUUUUCCAAUCAAGGUCCAAAAUAGCGUCUCCUCCUCGAUCAUUACGAUCCACCCAGAAGCAUGCAAGGUACAGUCCACUCUCUCGAGCUGUAAAAGCCAAAUUACCCACCCGUGUGCUAUCUACGUGAUGAAGCUCGUUUCCAUAUGGUGAUGUCACCUGAACAAAACACAUUAUAUCACAAAUAUCCUUCAUCCAAACUCGUUAUAAUUCAUCCUUUCACAUACAAAAAACAUAGAAACAAUAUAUCUGCAUAAAAAUCUUUGACGUGUUCAUGAAUCUUUUUCUUAUUUGAAACGCAGUUAUUUAUUUAGCGUAGACAUUACAAGAACAUACGAUAAAUGAAACUAGCAACAGGGAUACGAUAUAAAAUCAUUCGUAUGCAUGCAUGCAUGGAUGCGUUCAGGUCAAAACAGUGGAAACAACAUGGAGAGGGCAGAAGAGAAUUGAAUUUGAAGGGCGACCCAGAACGUUACCUUGGAGGAAAUGGUGGUGUUGGGGGUACCACGGACGAGAGCGUAAUGGACCAAAACGACGACGUUGCUAUGGAUUUCUUCGGAAAUGCACUUGGUGCCGCCGGUUGGUAUCGUUAUCCAUAAUGCGCGAGAGGUGGAGAAGAAGAAGAAGAAGAAGACGAGUGGCAACAACAUUGACAUGAUAUUAUCUCUGUGCUAUGUAUUCUUCAUACACAAAAACAUCAAUUUUUUGUAAUUACAACGUGAAAUCAAUGUCAGCUUGUGAUGGAUCCAGUUUUGAUUUGAAGAGCAAAGUUUCUUCUGAUGUGACCAACAACGUAGUAACAUGUAACAUCUGUAACUGUCUCUCUUGCCUUGUCUCCUUUAGUUUCUUUUUUUAGCUAUUCUCUUAUCAUCCAUUAUUAUUCUUUCUUUGCUUCUUCCAUUACGUCUGUUACCUCUUAUUUCUCUUAGGUCUAAACUUCUUUUAUGUACUGUUUCAGUAUUUUUCAUUUAAACAGCUUUUAUAAAAAUAUAUAUGUAAUCGAAUGGUGACAAUAAGUUCCAAGUUAAUUGAGAUCUUAUUGUCAAUCACUCUUAAUUUUGUUUAUAAUAACAAAGGGCAAUUUGGGAAAAAACAUAAUAAAAUUCUAAAAUUUGGAAGGGAGAAAACUAGCUUGUAACUUCUUACUAUUGUCUGAUCUUAAAUAAGAGGAGUGAAAGUUUGAAAAUUAAAAUAUAUUAAAAUUUGGAAUAUAAACGAAUUCCAAUUUUAUAUCCAAAUUUAAAAAUUAUAAAUAUAUAUAUAUAUAUAUGUAUAUUUUUUUUUAAUACAUGACUGUAACUAAAGGUUACACACGUAUUCAAUUACUAAAAGUAUUUAUAUGAAUUUCAAACAAAAUUAAUGUAAUAGUUUGAGGUAACACAAUAUUAAUCACAUAAAAUGUUGUUUUGAGUUAAGGUAAAUGAUUUAUAUUAUAAUUACAUUAGAGAUUCAUUAGUUCAUCUUAGUUAUAUUCGAAAUCAUAGGAAUUGAAUUUCAAACAAUUUUUUUGUUGAAAUAUACUAACAUAAUAAAUUUAAGAUAUGGACUUUAAAUAAGACAUUAUGUUAUAAAUAAAUAAAUAAGUGUAUAAUAUCUAUGAGAUUUAUUAGAAAUUUAAAUACGAGUUUAAAUAUUAUAUUGAGUGGAUAUAAUAAUGUUAAGUGACAUAAAAAGAAGAUGAUAUAUAAUUUUAAGGAAAAUGAUAUUUUAACACUAUUUUUUGACACUGUACACGUGUCAAAAUGUGAUUGGACGAUUUCAAAUUAAAAAAGUUGAGAGAGGGAUAUAUUUGGAAGAGAAAAAUCAAAGUUUAUUUUUUUAAUUUGAAAUCGUCCAAUCACAUUUUAACACGUGUGUAGUGUCAAAAUAGUGUCAAAAAAAGGUGUUAAAAUAUCAUUUUCCUAAUUUUAAAUAGAAGGUAAUGUUAAUUUGUUAUGUGUUUUGACUCACUAUUUUGUAUGAAUCCUUCACAAAAACUCCAUUAUACUUAUCUAUAUAUAGUUAUGAAACUAAUUACUCUCCAUCUCUUAACAAAAAUUAGGAUUCAAUAAAAGGAUACAAGGACGAUUGAUGAGAUGAAAUGCAAACAUGUAAGAACAUGUUUUUUCAGAAAUACAGGGUUAUCAUGGGACAAUGUUAUUAGAUAUGUUUUAUUCUGUUUUUGACAUACAUGAGAAAUGAUUCACAUGUGCAGAAGCUUUGGAAAAUGGUGGGAAAGUCCAUAACCAGAAGCUGAGUCUACAAUGGCACUGUGCAAAGCAAUGGUCUCGAGGGUCAAUCCAGGGCCAAACCCUAGCAAAACGCCCCAUUCAAAUCCUUCACCAGUUGUGCCUUUUCCUUCCGUCACAGACAUCCUUCUCAUCUCAUCAAGCACAAACAACACACAUGCACUCGACAUGUUUCCAUACUCACUCAAAACCUUUCUAGAAGCUUUCAGUUUGUUAGGGUUCAACCUAACUUUCUCCUCUAUCUGGUUCAAGAUUGCAGGACCACCAGGGUGCACCACCCAGAACAACGAGUUCCAAUCACUCACCCCGAGUUCCUUAAAGCUUUCUUCCAACAUUUUCUCCACAUUGUCUCCGAUUAACAUAGGAACACUGUCCUUCAGAUGGAAUGUCACUCCCAUCUCGCGCAGGUGUCCCUCUAUGGCACCCUCCGAGUUCGGUAAUAUUGUCUGCGAUGCCGACACAAUGUGAAACAAGGGCCGUUCCAUGGAUGUUUCUGGGUCGGAUCCAACGAUGGCAGAUGAAGCACCGUCACCGAAGAGUGCCAAUCCCACCAACGAGUCCACGUCGGUUUCGGAGGGUCCACGAAAUCCGGCAAGCAUGAUCUCGGAACACACCACCAGAACACGUGCCCCAACGUUGUUCUCGGCUAGGUCUUUAGCUAGACGAAGUGCGGCGGCGCCAGCGAAGCAACCUUGGUGGUAUAACAUGAAUCUUUUGGUGGAUGGUUUGAGGCCCAAGAGCUUGAGAAGUUGGUAGUCAGCACCUGGCAUGUCCAUACCCGCGGAGGAGCAGAAGACGAGGUGAGUGAUGUGUGACUCGUCUCUUCCCCAUUCCUCGAUGGCUUUCGACGCCGCCUUCUCCCCAAGCUUCGGAAUUUCCUUGAUUAGUAUGUCUUGUCGUGCAUCCAAGGAUGCUGUGUAACUUGCUAACUUAGGGUUGUCAUUCAAGAUUUGUUCAGUGAGGUGUGUGUAUCGUGUCUUAACCAUGGACUUUUCACCUGUUUGCAUGUCCAACAGAUUUGAUUUCAUAUGGAAAGAGAUGAUAUGAAAAAGAUGGUGGUGGUGGAAAGUUGAGCUUACAUAUGCGCUUGAGCUUGGCCUUGAGUUGAGUCAUGUGAUCACUGUCGGUGAUUCGGAAGUAAAAAUCGGGGAAGUGAUCCUGGUGAAUGCAGUUGGGUGGAGUUGCGGUGGCAAUGGCUAGUAUGGCGGCGGUUCCACCAGCUCUUUCUUUUUCUCGUACUUCCUUCAAAUAUGCCAUUUUGUUGGAUUGAUCCAUCACCUAAAACCAAACACAAGAAACAAAGAUAUAGUUAUUUUGUAAGAUAUACGCACUCAGAUCAACUUAUAUAUAGGCCUACUUUCCUGUAUUCAUCUACCGGAACAUUUGACCAAUUACGAAAGUGGUGCACUUUGGGUAAACAAACCAUAAAGGCUGUAGUUAAUGGCAUAGUUCCCCUAGACUCAAGGCAAAUUACAUUAUUUUUUCUUGUCGACGGCUCCAAUUAAAGCCAUGAAAGACAAAUCAAAAUGGACAAUCAUAUUUUCCACAUCAUUUUUUGACAAUUUUUUUAUGUGUUAUCAUUUUAUUGAUCUAUUUAAAUUUAAAUUUAAAAAAUAUUUAAAAUAGACCAAUUAAAACUAUAUUCGUUGUAAAAAGUUAUUAAAAAAGUGUUGUUAAAAAAAAAUUUUCCAGUCAAAAUUAGAGUUUAUGGCAAUUUCUAUAAUUAAAAGCUUUUGCACAAUUAUUUAUCUCAUAUAUAUGAUCAACCAAAAGUCAGAAAUAGGAUUCCAUCUCUAAAUAGAUAACGUUUAGAGUCCUUAAUUAUUUCCACCGUUUUUGCUUGAAAAUUAGUUGUACCAAACCAACAUUAAGAUUUUGACAAACUGACACAUGAAGCUGCUGUGCUUUCAAAAAGAAGGAAAACAAUAGUAUACGAAAUAGCAUUGAUUAUUUCAGACCAUUUUUGCAUAAUCGGAUGAGCUUUUCAAUGCAUUGUUCUAGGGUAAGAAUAAAAAAUAAAUAAAAAAUCAAAUUCUUACUAAGAAUAAAAAUAAUAAUUUGACACAUAAAUUUUUAUAUUUAAUUAAUAUUAUCAUCUUUUACUUUUUAAUUCCUUUAAAAUAAUAUAUGUAACUCUUUAAUGAUUAUUUUAUUUUUAUAUUAUGUAUCAAAUAAAUAUAAAAAUACACUCUAUUAUUAUUCAAUUGAAAAAGGAUAAGAUACCAAAAUUUCCAAGCAAUGGUCACACCAUCCCUCUAUGAUUGAUACUUUUAUUCCUUUGCCCAGUAAUAGAAAAGGAAGGAAGAAACUUAACGGAUAGAUUCCCAGUCCUUUUCAUGUAACAUUUUCUUUUAUCACCAUGAAUUCUUUAAAAAGAUUACUUAAUUUUUUAAUUACUAAACUCAUGUGAAAAAUUCUGACCCUAAAAGUUAAAACUUUUAUAUGUUAGAAGAUAGCCAUGGUUUUAUAAGACAUUGCUCCACCCACUCUUUUCUUGCACUAAACACACUGAUACAGUUAGAUCUGCUUCCUCUAUCCAUCCAUGGAAGCUUUACUUUCCCAAUUCAGCUUCCUCUCAGAGCAGGCCCUUCAAGACAAGAACUUUGACCCUUCCACAAUUGAAGAUCUGAUGAAGCUGUUCGAGAUUGAAUCCUACAAGGCAUGGGCAGCUGCUGAACUGGAGCAAGACAGAGAGGUGGAGGAAGCAGAAGCUGGCAUGGAAGAAGCUGAGGAGUACCUUGACUCGGUCAUGGAGACUGCCAUGGAUGAGUUCAGACGCUUUGAAGAAGAGCUUGAGAGGAUGGCAAAAGAUGAAAUGGAAAACCUUGUUCAAACUGCUGAAAGAGCCAGAAAAAUGGGAAACUUGAUGGAAAAAGGUGCCUCUGUUGCUUCCAAGAAGUAUAUUGAGGCUGCUCUCAAUUCAGCCACUGCUUCCAUGAAAUCAGCUUGGAAAGGUCUCUCUUCUGGAAAGGUUCAUCCUUCUUAAUAUAUCUACAAUACUCAUUCUAUAUGUAUUCACUUCAGAUUAAACCUGUCAUCAAAUAUAUUUCAUACCCCUUUUACUCUUUAUUGUUAUUUCUAAUUUCUAGUAGUUAAAUUACAUUGCUGCUUUGGAAAAAUUGAAACUUUAUUAUAUCAGAAUUGUACCAAUUGAGAUGCUGAGGAAUAUUAGCAGAAAUCAUAUUUGCAGUUGUUUCAAGGCCAAAGGCCAAAUCCAUGGUUUGAGUUGAGUGCAUCUAUCUGUAUAUGCAACUAACAACACAAGGCUUACGAUUCUAACAGCUUAAUUAAUUUAGAGUGGCUAUAUUGCUUGUCUGAUUCAUUUUCUGGGCUAAUUUAGAGGAAACAUAUUUUCUUCUGGAGUUUUCCUGCACAUUAAAUUGCUGUUUUCCCCUGAAUCUUCCAGAUUUAUAUGGUUUCUUACGCAUGAAGAUGAAUCUUGUUUGUUUUCAGAUUUUACAAAUGUGUAGUUGGAUAGCCAUACUACUACUUGGAUUGAUUAAUACAAUACAUAAUCAAUGCAAAUUAUUACAUUUAGUACCAUUUUCAAUAGUUCAACCCAUCUUUUUCAAUGAAAUCUUGAAUUCAAACAACUUCAUUUAGUGUGUACAUAGAUAUUAAACUCUGUCAUUUGGCUAAAGAACUGAGUAGUAAGAAGCUGUUUACCACAUCUUUUUGGGAUCUUCACCUUGGAUUGGCACAAUGAAGAAAAUGGGUUAUCCAGAUGAUGAUUAAUAUUUUAUUAUACAGUGUAUGUUUCUGAGUUCUGACAAUGAAGAUUGGAGUUACUCUGCACAUACCCAGCUUUCUUAUGCAGUACAUGCAUGCACCUGAUCCUGGAUAUUCAUGCCCA